UGCGUAGGCGGUUUGGAAAGUCAGAUGUGAAAGCCUACAGCUUAACUGUAGAACUGCAUUUGAAACUUCCAGACUAGAGUACUGAAGGGGCAGAUGGAAUUAGUGGUGUAGGGGUAAAAUCCGUAGACAUCACUAGGAAUACCGAAAGCGAAAGCGAUCUGCUGGGAAGUUAUUGACGCUGAGGCACGAAAGCGUGGGGAGCAAACG
RNAcentral lists this ribosomal RNA (207 nucleotides) under uncultured bacterium. RNAcentral's name for it is "partial 16S ribosomal RNA". It matches the Rfam family "Bacterial small subunit ribosomal RNA", at positions 568 to 774 of the family's 1533-position model. The record is from RNAcentral.